RNAcentral lists this ribosomal RNA (407 nucleotides) under bacterium enrichment culture clone ALO1_GLFRUDD03GZBDB. RNAcentral's name for it is "bacterial SSU rRNA". It matches the Rfam family "Bacterial small subunit ribosomal RNA", at positions 9 to 417 of the family's 1533-position model. The record is from RNAcentral.
GAGUUUGAUCGUGGCUCAGAUUGAACGCUGGCGGCAUGCCUUACACAUGCAAGUCGAACGGCAGCACGGGAGCUUGCUCCUGGUGGCGAGUGGCGAACGGGUGAGUAAUGCAUCGGAACGUAUCCUGGAGUGGGGGAUAACGUAGCGAAAGUUACGCUAAUACCGCAUAUUCUGUGAGCAGGAAAGCGGGGGACCUUCGGGCCUCGCGCUCUUGGAGCGGCCGAUGUCGGAUUAGCUAGUUGGUGAGGUAAAGGCUCACCAAGGCGACGAUCCGUAGCAGGUCUGAGAGGAUGAUCUGCCACACUGGAACUGAGACACGGUCCAGACUCCUACGGGAGGCAGCAGUGGGAAUUUUGGACAGUGGGGGCAACCCUGAUCCAGCCAUGCCGCGUGAGUGAAGAAGGCCU